Molecule: long non-coding RNA, 2288 nt
Organism: Papaver somniferum (opium poppy)
Lineage: Eukaryota; Viridiplantae; Streptophyta; Magnoliopsida; Ranunculales; Papaveraceae
Exons: 5
Source: RefSeq, a predicted model, not a curated record
CCAGCGGCGACUUCUGCAUCUCAGUCUUAAGAAAUCUUAAGUUCUCAUUCUCUCCUAGUCUGAAAAGCUCCAGUAACAACUAAAUAUUCAGUCAAAAUCUCGAUCGAGAUAAAAAAACCAUUUCAUUUUAGGUGAAGAUGAUUAAUGAGUUUAAUUGCUUAAUCUAGGGUUCCUGGAAAAAAAAAUUGUUUCGUGUGGUUAGUUUGCUAUAAUGGAGAAACUCUACAUAUAUAUGGGUUUUAUUUAAUUUGUGAUUUUGCUUCUUUGAUUUGGUUUUCAAGUUUUCUUGUGAUGAUGACUCGAUGUUCUUCAUCAACAGAAAAAACAGGUUAGGGUUUCUUCAAGUCAAGAUCUCUAUUCUGUUUAUUGUAUUAAGGUUUUCGAUUAUAACUAUUUUUUUGUUUUAAUUUGAGUUUGUGAAAAGAUUCAGUAGCUAACCAUGUCUCCAGCAUCUAAAGGUAAUUUUGUAGACUUCAGGUUUUUGUUACUUUGUUCUCUCUGGUUUAGACGUCCUUAAGGCAAUUUAUGGUUACAAUUCAUAAUUGCUGCAAUUAAUUUUAGUUUUUGAAUUGAUUUUUUAUUAUUUAUUGGAUUGUACUGAAUUUUAGGCUGAUAAAUAUCAAGUAGUGAAUUGGGUAUUUUGUUUUCAAGCACAUCUAAAAGUAGAGAUGAUUUGGAGAACGGUAUGGUAUAUUUUUGUCUACUUCGUAAAUUGUACGUGUUUUAGCUUGUUGAUCUUAGAAUUGAUGUUUCCAGGGUUCUAUUACGGAUUCGCUCUGGGACGUCGCAGUUUCCAGAAAAUGAUUGCCGGUCAAUUUGUGUGUGCGUGCAGGAUUUGAGUAGUAGUGGAAGUCACUUGGCUAGUACGUACGGUGGAUUAGCAAUUUUGAAGCUAGUUGGGGAUGACUUGGAAAUUAUUGAUACUGAAGCUAUGUUAAUCACGAUGAAACAUCUUCAGCAACCUGAUGGGAGAUACACUAUUAUUUGUUUCGUGGACUAGAAUUUUAUUUUUAUACUAUUCAUACUAGUGCAAGAGAAGGACCUCCAUUUUGUAUAUGGGCUGCUACGUUAACUUCUUUGUUGAGCGAUUGAAUGACAGUAUUUCGUUUCACUAUCACUCAAUUGAUGGCGAGCUCAACUCACUGCAUUACUACUUGCAUUCCAGAAGAUAUAAUCUUUGAGAUUUUGGUAAGGCUGAAAACGAAUGCAUCUUAGUGCUUAGGCCAUUGUUUAAAGUACUUAUAUAUGUGUUGUUUCACUUCUUUGAAUUGGUGUGAAUUUCACUAAUUAUUAAAGACAUGAGUAAGUAACUAAUUAGUUAUGUUAGGGUUAGUCGUUUGGAUACAUAUGAUGGUGGCAGCAUGACUCUCUUACAAGUAAUAACAAACUAUUAGAAGAAUCUCCCUUCAGAUACAUUUUAUUUACAGGAGAGUCAUAUUCCCGCCAAGUUAGAGCAUCCCAAUAGACAUUUUGUAGUUGAAUUGUUAAAAGUUGGAUCUGCAGUAAUAGGUUGUCAAGUGGUUCAUGAAUUUGUUUAUCUGCCAUGGUAGCUUGUUUCUUAGUGUGUGGAUUGCCUCUAAAAGGGAUGAUUCUUGGUCAGAUAGUGGUGGACAACUGUAUUUUUUGGCUGGGGAUAUUUUUUCAAAGGGUUCGCUACCGUUUUUUGGUUGUUUGUAUUGGGUUGUGGUUACCAUUUGCUUUAAUGUUGAUGUUUCCAGUCAUCCUAUGGUAUUGUUGACUACUUCGAUGGUAGAUGUGCUUCCCUCGCUAUUAUAACUCACAGUGGGAGACAUUUGUGAGUAAAAUCCUUCUACUUUUGAUUUGCUUUCUCGUUCCUAUGUCAUACAUCUAUCUCUGCUCAUAUGCAGGUCUGGGCAGCCUAUCAAAGUUAAUUGGGCGUAUGAGGACACCUCAGUGCUCAUGGUGUAGCGAACCAAUCUAUUAGCCUAUGAGCGACAAAUGCAAAUGAGCAAAGAUGGAAAGUGGAAAAUUUAAUGGGGAGUGAGUGUAAGAUUGCUGAAGUGUGUUUCAGAUGGUGAAGCCGGAUGAUGUCAAUGAGAACAAGUAAGGAAAUACUAGCUUGCAAUGUUAAAUUUAUAAAUGAUGAAAGUAAUCUAAACCAUAGGUAUCUACAAGAUUUGAGCUUACACUGUCUAAUUUCGAUAUGUGAAAGCCUAUGAAAACAUAGGUAUCUAGAAGAGUUGAACUAUCCAUGACUCCAUAUAGAUAUGCUGUAUGAUUUCAGGAAGACUAUCUUUUUAUUUAUUGAUAAAUGUAGAGUUUUGCUA